UAAAAUGAAUUGACGGGGGCCCGCACAAGCGGUGGAGCAUGUGGUUUAAUUAGAAGCAACGCGAAGAACCUUACCAGGUCUUGACAUCCUCUGACAACUAUAGAGAUAGAGCGUUCCCCUUCGGGGGACAGAGUGACAGGUGGUGCAUGGUUGUCGUCAGCUCGUGUCGUGAGAUGUUGGGUUAAGUCCCGCAACGAGCGCAACCCUUGAUCUUAGUUGCCAGCAUUCAGUUGGGCACUCUAAGGUGACUGCCGGUGACAAACCGGAGGAAGGUGGGGAUGACGUCAAAUCAUCAUGCCCCUUAUGACCUGGGCUACACACGUGCUACAAUGGAUGGUACAAAGGGCUGCAAGACCGCGAGGUCAAGCCAAUCCCAUAAAACCAUUCUCAGUUCGGAUUGUAGGCUGCAACUCGCCUACAUGAAGCUGGAAUCGCUAGUAAUCGCGGAUCAGCAUGCCGCGGUGAAUACGUUCCCGGGCCUUGUACACACCGCCCGUCACACCACGAGAGUUUGUAACACCCGAAGUCGGUGGAGUAACCGUAAGGAGCUAGCCGCCUAAGGUGGGACAGAUGAUGGGGGUGAAGUCGUAACAAGGUAAG
RNAcentral lists this ribosomal RNA (600 nucleotides) under uncultured bacterium. Its description in RNAcentral is "bacterial SSU rRNA". It matches the Rfam family "Bacterial small subunit ribosomal RNA", at positions 901 to 1500 of the family's 1533-position model. The record is from RNAcentral.